Molecule: long non-coding RNA, 3398 nt
Organism: Panicum virgatum (switchgrass)
Lineage: Eukaryota; Viridiplantae; Streptophyta; Magnoliopsida; Poales; Poaceae
Exons: 2
Source: RefSeq, a predicted model, not a curated record
UCUCAACCCAUUAUGGCAUUCUUUUUUAUGGACAUGUACUUAUGCCCUGUUGUGAAGGGCAACAGUACUGAUCCUUGACAAAUAGUCUGGCAGCUAACUUGUGGCACAAAGAAAAUCGGUAAAAUUUUCUCCCAGAAUUUAGCAGUACUGUUAUAUUCUUGUCGCUAGCAACAAGGAACUUGUAAGAGAGUACAGAAAUAGUAAGUAGGAUUCACUAUAAAAUGUAAUGAUCCACUAUGUAAGGUAUGCAGGGGAUAUUCCGUUGAUUCAUUUAUCCCAUGUAGCUGUAGAGGGUACAUGUAAAGGGCACAAUAGGAUUCCAAUUUGGAAAAAGAUACAAAUAUGGAGAUAAUGACAACCCUUUUCGUACCCAGUAGUCUUUAUUGUCCCUCUACACCCACAAACUAUCCUCUCAUAAUAGGAUUUAGAUCAGUAAGAACAUUUAUCACAGUAGAUAUUGUUACAAGAUAGGAAUGGAGGCUGAAAUGUUGGAUGUAUUGGAUAGCCCCAAAUGGGGUAUAUAUAGUACAUGAGCACCCAGACCCUAGACAAUAGGAAAAGACUAAACUAACAUUGACUCAUUUACUCUUAUACCCUUAACACCCCCUCUCAAAUGCAACGUGAAUGCAAUGACGUUGCAUUUGGAGAGUUGAUACUAAGCACUAGACUCAACAAAAAGAAAAUGAUACAUCCAAAGUCCGAAAUGAAAGAUGUCGUCGAAUCGUGCAAACUCUUGAACAUGUCGAUGUAGAUGAUCUCCUCCACAAGAGGGUAUUGCCUUCACAACCGUACUUCAGCGAAUACCUCAAGUCUUCACAAACCAUACAUCAACUCCUCAAACACGAGCCUUGCUUUGGAGUCUUGAACUUGACAAUAACUUGAGAUGUGUCAAACCAGCCAAACGGAGAGGAGAAUGAGAGAUCACUGCUGCAAGACGGCAAGCAGGAGGACAUGUGAUGACGACGACGAAUAAACGGCCAUUGAUCCUGACGUGGAGCAAAACGGCUCCGAAAGAGACCAAGAGGGCAAAUGUCGCACCACAAUGAUGAUGUGAUUAGCUAAAUCGACGGGACUCAGCUAACCAUAAAACAAAACUAAGAAAUUGGCUGACUGACAAUCAUGAAUUUUGUGGACACGCACGGCAUUGACGAACCGGAGAAAUAUAUGUGGACUUGGAUUGAUAUAGCAGAACACGAGACAAAUGAAAAUGACUUGAUAUAGCAGAUGCUAGCAGGCAGCAGCAAUAGUAGCUAUAUGGCAGCAGCAGGACAAAAUAUGGAGAUGGUCAAGCAGCAGUUAGCAAUGACAUGGUAGAAGAUCACUGAUUGCACAGAUAACAAGCUACUUGAAGAUGACGGCACAGCCCAAGCAAGAAAUUGGAGCAUAUUGCAACCGCAUAACCAUGAGAGGCAGGCCAAGGAAACAAGAAGCUUGAACCAAGUUCAGCUAGGCGGCGCCUAGACGGCGACUAGGCGCGACUAACCGGUAGUCGAGGGGGUUCCGCCUCGCCUAUGGGGGUAGGCGGACCCCUAGGCGGGCGGAGGUCGCCGGUGAGGUCGGACGGCGGGCGCGGGCGGCGUUGGACGGCGGGCGCGGGCGGCGUUGGACGGCGGGCGCGGGCGGCGGUGGGCUCGGACUGAGGGAGAGAGAUGCGGGAGAGGAACUGGCGGCGGGGACGCGGGCGCACGGGUGCGGCGGCGGGGACGUGGGCGCAGGGAUGCGGCGGCGCGGGAUGCGGCACGGGCGCAGGGAGCGGAAGUGGUGGCGUGCGGGAGAGGAUGCGGAAGAGAGAUGCAAUUCUGUGAUGGCGGCGGAGGCUGGGAUGGCGGGGGCGAUGCAGGGGCGAGAGGCGGGGGCGAACGAGGGGAGGGGAGGCGUCGGGGAGAGGAUAAGGUGGGAGGUGGGUUGUUGAAUAGUUGGGCUGCUUUGAUGGGCUUCCUUUUCGACUAAAGGCCCAAUGGUCCCCAGUUUUUUUUUUAGAGGUACAUAUGAUGUAUAUGGCAAGGUAUAUGUAUGUAUAUGGCACCGCCUAGGAAAACACCUAGGAACGCCUAGGCGCGAUUAAUCCCGCCUAGGCGCUAGGCUAUGGGUCGCCGCCUAGAAACCGCCUAGCGCCUAGCUGAACCAUGAGCUUGAACCACUGCUACUGAAAUUAGAGGCCACAUGACAACAAAGCAGUGGCAAAUGAUAAUGAGCCAGGAACAAGCACAAGUUGACAUAUAAUCGCUUCCUCUGUUCUCCCCCAAAUGAGGCUUGCGGCAGCAUGAAACUGCAGUUGAGAAUGUGUACUGGAUGGAGAAGAAAGAGAGAUGAGCAGAGGAAGAAAUCACCACUAGGAAGAUGCUUAUGGCUCCAGCAGAUUGAGGGCCGACAGCUGCUGCUCCAUCCGUGCGUGGGAAGCCCCGCGAGAGGAACGGAGGGAUGGCCAGGAGGACCAGCAAGCUGAGCAACGGGGACAGCUGGUGGACUGCUGGACUGACGGCCGGCCGCAGCUCGCACUCGGGCGGACGGAAGAUGCAGAGCAGGGGAGCGGACGGAUCCAUGGUGGGGCCGGCGACGGGCAGGCGGGGGCUGCUGCGGCGAGCAGCAGAGCAGCUGCACCCCUCCCGCGACAGCAACUAGCGGACGGCCGCGUGGCGCACGCGUGGACAGGGCGCGGACGGCGCAAAUGGCCGCGCGGGGAGGAACCGCGACAGGCGGCGACGAAGACGGCCGGCUGAGGAGGCGGAGGCGGCCAGAUCCACGACGGGCAGGGCUUGCUGCUCCACUCCCGCGACCGGAUCGACGACAGAUCCGCGACGGGGACGGCGUGGACGGGAGCUGACGACGCUGGCGGGUGCCGCGCGACGGCGCGGAUGGAUUCGCCGCAACGGGCGGCGGACAGAGGACGGCGGCGACAGAUCCAUGACGGGCAGGGGCUGCUGCUCCCCUCCCGCGAGCGGAUCGACGACGGGACGAACGGCGAUGGAGAUCUACGACGAAAUCUUGCUGCUGCGGCGGCUACUACGACGCAGCUACUAAAAAAAAGAAAUGGGUUUGGGGCUACUGGAGGAGAGGCCGCCCCCAGGAGCAAACGAAGCUCCCAGGGGCAGCGCAGCGGCGACGGAGGGUGGCGGACGGAUUCAAGAAACCUGGAGCUGUGAUACCAUGUUACAAGAUAGGAAUGGAGGCUGAAAUGUUGGAUGUAUUGGAUAGCCCCAAAUGGGGUAUAUAUAGUACAUGAGCACCCAAACCCUAGACAAUAGGAAAAGACUAAACUACCCUUGACUCAUUUACUCUUAUACCCUUAACAGAUAUCACAUAGUGUAAGACAUAAUAGUGUUGUGGGGGGAUUGGUUUCAUAUACCAUCUACAUUAGGAAUGACGAAAGCAUGACAAAUAUAGCUAUCCUUCCUUAC